RNAcentral lists this ribosomal RNA (890 nucleotides) under uncultured Bacteroidota bacterium. RNAcentral's name for it is "bacterial SSU rRNA". It matches the Rfam family "Bacterial small subunit ribosomal RNA", at positions 8 to 898 of the family's 1533-position model. The record is from RNAcentral. Lineage: Bacteria; Pseudomonadati; Bacteroidota.
AGGGUUUGAUCAUGGCUCAGGAUGAACGCUAGCGGCAGGCUUAACACAUGCAAGUCGAGGGGUAACAUAUUAGCUUGCUAAUGAUGACGACCGGCGAACGGGUGCGUAACGCGUAUAGAAUCUGCCUUGUACAGGAGGAUAACCUUUAGAAAUGAAGACUAACACUCCAUAAUGUUAUUGAUUGGCAUCGAUUAAUAAUUAAAUAUUUAUAGGUACAAGAUGACUAUGCGUCCUAUUAGCUAGAUGGUAAGGUAACGGCUUACCAUGGCAACGAUAGGUAGGGGGUCUGAGAGGAUUAUCCCCCACACUGGUACUGAGACACGGACCAGACUCCUACGGGAGGCAGCAGUGAGGAAUAUUGGACAAUGGAGGCAACUCUGAUCCAGCCAUGCCGCGUGCAGGAUGACUGCCCUAUGGGUUGUAAACUGCUUUUAUACAGGAAGAAACACUACCUCGUGAGGUAGCUUGACGGUACUGUAAGAAUAAGGACCGGCUAACUCCGUGCCAGCAGCCGCGGUAAUACGGAGGGUCCGAGCGUUAUCCGGAAUCAUUGGGUUUAAAGGGUCCGCAGGCGGUUAAUUAAGUCAGAGGUGAAAUCCCAUCGCUCAACGAUGGAACUGCCUUUGAUACUGGCUGACUUGAGUCAUAUGGAAGUAGAUAGAAUAAGUAGUGUAGCGGUGAAAUGCAUAGAUAUUACUUAGAAUACCGAUUGCGAAGGCAGUCUACUACGUAUGUACUGACGCUCAUGGACGAAAGCGUGGGGAGCGAACAGGAUUAGAUACCCUGGCAGUCCGCGCCGUAAACGAUGGAUACUAGUUGUUGGAAGUAAUUUCAGUGACUAAGCGAAAGUGAUAAGUAUCCCACCUGGGGAGUACGGUCGCAAGACUGAA